UGGGGAAUAUUGGACAAUGGGCGAAAGCCUGAUCCAGCCAUGCCGCGUGUGUGAAGAAGGUCUUCGGAUUGUAAAGCACUUUAAGUUGGGAGGAAGGGCAGUAAGCGAAUACCUUGCUGUUUUGACGUUACCGACAGAAUAAGCACCGGCUAACUCUGUGCCAGCAGCCGCGGUAAUACAGAGGGUGCAAGCGUUAAUCGGAAUUACUGGGCGUAAAGCGCGCGUAGGUGUUUCGUUAAGUUGAAUGUGAAAGCCCCGGGCUCAACCUGGGAACUGCAUCCAAAACUGGCGAGCUAGAGUAGGGCAGAGGGUGGUGGAAUUUCCUGUGUAGCGGUGAAAUGCGUAGAUAUAGGAAGGAACACCAGUGGCGAAGGCGACCACCUGGGCUCAUACUGACACUGAGGUGCGAAAGCGUGGGGAGCAAACAGG
RNAcentral lists this ribosomal RNA (429 nucleotides) under Pseudomonadota bacterium. RNAcentral's name for it is "Proteobacteria bacterium partial 16S ribosomal RNA". It matches the Rfam family "Bacterial small subunit ribosomal RNA", at positions 355 to 776 of the family's 1533-position model. The record is from RNAcentral. Lineage: Bacteria; Pseudomonadati; Pseudomonadota.